AUUGAACGCUGGCGGCAGGCCUAACACAUGCAAGUCGAGCGGAUGAGAGGAGCUUGCUUCUUGAUUCAGCGGCGGACGGGUGAGUAAUGCCUAGGAAUCUGCCUGGUAGUGGGGGACAACGUUUCGAAAGGAACGCUAAUACCGCAUACGUCCUACGGGAGAAAGCAGGGGACCUUCGGGCCUUGCGCUAUCAGAUGAGCCUAGGUCGGAUUAGCUAGUUGGUGAGGUAAUGGCUCACCAAGGCGACGAUCCGUAACUGGCCUGAGAGGAUGAUCAGUCACACUGGAACUGAGACACGGUCCAGACUCCUACGGGAGGCAGCAGUGGGGAAUAUUGGACAAUGGGCGAAAGCCUGAUCCAGCCAUGCCGCGUGUGUGAAGAAGGUCUUCGGAUUGUAAAGCACUUUAAGUUGGGAGGAAGGGUUGUACGUUAAUACCGUGCAAUUUUGACGUUACCGACAGAAUAAGCACCGGCUAACUCUGUGCCAGCAGCCGCCGUAA
RNAcentral lists this ribosomal RNA (500 nucleotides) under uncultured bacterium. Its description in RNAcentral is "partial 16S ribosomal RNA". It matches the Rfam family "Bacterial small subunit ribosomal RNA", at positions 30 to 523 of the family's 1533-position model. The record is from RNAcentral.